GACGAACGCUGGCGGCGUGCCUAAUACAUGCAAGUCGAACGAAGCUGUUUUAACUGGUGCUUGCACCGACUUAAACAACUGAGUGGCGAACGGGUGAGUAACACGUGGGUAACCUGCCCCAAAGCGGGGGAUAACAUUUGGAAACAGAUGCUAAUACCGCAUAACCACAGAAACCACAUGGUUUCUGUGUCAAAGAUGGUUUCGGCUAUCACUUUGGGAUGGACCCGCGGCGUAUUAGCUAGUUGGUAAGGUAAUGGCUUACCAAGGCAAUGAUACGUAGCCGAACUGAGAGGUUGAUCGGCCACAUUGGACUGAGACACGGCCCAAACUCCUACGGGAGGCAGCAGUAGGGAAUCUUCCACAAUGGACGAAAGUCUGAUGGAGCAACGCCGCGUGAGUGAAGAAGGUUUUCGGAUCGUAAGACUCUGUUGUCAGAGAAGAACGUGUGCGAGAGUAACUGUUCGUGCAGUGACGGUAUCUGGCCAGAAAGCCACGGCUAACUACGUGCCAGCCGCCGCGGUAA
This 523-nucleotide ribosomal RNA is filed under the name uncultured bacterium. RNAcentral describes it as "partial 16S ribosomal RNA". It matches the Rfam family "Bacterial small subunit ribosomal RNA", at positions 28 to 523 of the family's 1533-position model. The record is from RNAcentral.